AGAGUUUGAUUAUGGCUCAGAUUGAACGCUGGCGGCAUGCCUUACACAUGCAAGUCGAACGGCAGCAUGGAGAGCUUGCUCUCUGAUGGCGAGUGGCGAACGGGUGAGUAAUACAUCGGAACGUGUCCGUUUGUGGGGGACAACCGUCCGAAAGGAUGGCUAAUACCGCAUAAGACCUGAGGGUGAAAGCCGGGGACCGCAAGGCCCGGCGCAGACGGAGCGGCCGAUGAUUGAUUAGCUAGUUGGGGAGGUAAAGGCUCACCAAGGCGACGAUCAAUAGCUGGUCUGAGAGGACGACCAGCCACACUGGAACUGAGACACGGUCCAG
This 328-nucleotide ribosomal RNA is filed under the name uncultured bacterium. RNAcentral describes it as "bacterial SSU rRNA". It matches the Rfam family "Bacterial small subunit ribosomal RNA", at positions 8 to 334 of the family's 1533-position model. The record is from RNAcentral.